UAGGGAAUCUUCGGCAAUGGGGGCAACCCUGACCGAGCAACGCCGCGUGAGUGAAGAAGGUUUUCGGAUCGUAAAGCUCUGUUGUAAGUCAAGAACGGGUGUGAGAGUGGAAGGUUCACACUGUGACGGUAGCUUACCAGAAAGGGACGGCUAACUACGUGCCAGCAGCCGCGGUAAUACGUAGGUCCCGAGCGUUGUCCGGAUUUAUUGGGCGUAAAGCGAGCGCAGGCGGUUUGAUAAGUCUGAAGU
This 249-nucleotide ribosomal RNA is filed under the name uncultured bacterium. RNAcentral's name for it is "partial 16S ribosomal RNA". It matches the Rfam family "Bacterial small subunit ribosomal RNA", at positions 355 to 595 of the family's 1533-position model. The record is from RNAcentral.